GAGUGUGAGAUGCUAUCCGCCGCCGUCUCCUCUCCCUGGCCUCGCCGGCGUCAUCGUGAGGGCCCUCCGGCGGAGCAUGGUGGCGGGCCGCGGCCGCCGCAGUGGAGGUUCUCGGAAGGGAGCUGGGCUCUCCUUUCGGCCUACGGCGGGGGGGAGCUUCGUCGGCGGCGUCGGAUUCAGAGCCCGAGGGAAGGGAACCCUAGGAGACCCGGUGAUCGCCUUCUCCAGCCGCUAGGUCUUGGGUGUUUUCCGGUGGAAGAGGGUGGGAGAUUUCACUUUGGCCCCAUUCCGGUGGGGAGAUGCUCUGCGCGUGACCUCGUCGAUCGCACCUGCCUGGAAAUUCUGCCGCCGGCAGGUUGAUUCGGCUGGUUCGAUCGGGUGGAAGGAAGAAAUAGGAUUCUGAUGAUGGAGGGUGGAGUCGGGGACGGGGGCGGCGGCGCGAUGGAGGAUUGCAGGAAGAUCAGGAACAUCUGCAUCCUCGCGCACGUCGACCACGGGAAGACGACGCUGGCGGACCACCUGAUCGCUUCCAGCGGCGGAGGGCUCGUCCACCCGAAGCUGGCGGGGCGGCUGCGAUUCAUGGACUAUCUGGACGAGGAGCAGCGACGGGCCAUCACGAUGAAGAGCUCCUCGAUCGCGCUGCAGUACCAGGGUUACUCCGUCAACCUCAUCGAUUCCCCGGGGCACAUGGACUUCUGCAGCGAGGUCUCCACCGCCGUGCGGAUGAGCGACGGCGCCCUCGUCCUCGUCGACGCCGUCGAGGGCGUCCACAUCCAGACCCACGCGGUCCUCCGCCAGGCCUGGGCCGAGAAGCUCACCCCCUGUCUGGUGCUGAACAAGAUCGACCGCCUCAUCACCGAGCUCAAGCUCACCCCCAUGGAGGCCUACACCCGUCUGCAGAGGAUCGUCCACGAGGUCAACGGCAUCAUGAGCGCUUACCGGUCGGAGAAGUACCUCUCGGACGUGGACUCCCUCCUCGCCGGGGCCGGCGCCGGCGCCGGCGACCUGGAGCUGGUGGAGGACGAGGGGGACGACGAAGACACCUUCCAGCCGCAGAAGGGGAACGUCGCCUUCGCCUGCGCGCUGGACGGGUGGGGCUUCUGCAUCGGCAGGUUCGCCGAGAUCUACGC
This 1130-nucleotide long non-coding RNA is filed under the name Spirodela polyrhiza (greater duckweed). RNAcentral describes it as "long non-coding RNA (SPOL_LNC001615)". The record is from RNAcentral. Lineage: Eukaryota; Viridiplantae; Streptophyta; Magnoliopsida; Alismatales; Araceae.